CCGAUGGAGGGGGAUAACUACUGGAAACGGUAGCUAAUACCGCAUAACGUCGCAAGACCAAAGAGGGGGACCUUCGGGCCUCUUGCCAUCGGAUGUGCCCAGAUGGGAUUAGCUAGUAGGUGGGGUAAAGGCUCACCUGGGCGACGAUCCCUAGCUGGUCUGAGAGGAUGACCAGCCACACUGGAACUGAGACACGGUCCAG
Molecule: ribosomal RNA, 202 nt
Filed under: uncultured bacterium
Lineage: Bacteria
Description: partial 16S ribosomal RNA
Rfam family: Bacterial small subunit ribosomal RNA
Source: RNAcentral